This 542-nucleotide ribosomal RNA is filed under the name uncultured bacterium. RNAcentral's name for it is "bacterial SSU rRNA". It matches the Rfam family "Bacterial small subunit ribosomal RNA", at positions 48 to 600 of the family's 1533-position model. RNAcentral also lists the same sequence under 1 other name. The record is from RNAcentral.
CUAACACAUGCAAGUCGAGCGAGGCGUCUGGUGCUUGCACCAGGCAAUGGUCGAGCGGCGAACGGGUGAGUAACACGUGAGAAACCUGCCCCGAAGACCGGGAUAACUCGAGGAAACUCGUGCUAAUACCGGAUGUCCCCAUUGGGUCACCUGGCCCGAUGAGGAAAUGCUCCGGUGCUUUGGGAGGGUCUCGCGGCCUAUCAGCUCGUUGGUGAGGUAACGGCUCACCAAGGCUAAGACGGGUAGCUGGUCUGAGAGGACGAUCAGCCACACUGGGACUGAGACACGGCCCAGACUCCUACGGGAGGCAGCAGUGGGGAAUCUUGCGCAAUGGGCGAAAGCCUGACGCAGCAACGCCGCGUGGGGGAUGACGGCUCUCGGGUUGUAAACCCCUUUCAGGAGGGACGAAAAUGACGGUACCUCCAGAAGAAGCCCCGGCCAACUACGUGCCAGCAGCCGCGGUAACACGUAGGGGGCAAGCGUUGUCCGGAUUUAUUGGGCGUAAAGAGCUCGUAGGCUGCUUGGUAAGUUGGGUGUGAAAU